UACGGAGGGUGCGAGUGUUAUUCGGAAUCACUGGGCGUAAAGAGCACGUAGGCGGAUAGGUAAGUCAGAUGUGAAAUCCCGGAGCUCAACUCCGGAACUGCAUUUGAUACUGCCUGUCUUGAGUGUGGUAGAGGGGGGUGGAAUUCCCGGUGUAGAGGUGAAAUUCGUAGAUAUCGGGAGGAACACCAGAGGCGAAGGCGACCCCCUGGGCCACUACUGACGCUGAGGUGCGAAAGCGUGGGGAG
RNAcentral lists this ribosomal RNA (245 nucleotides) under uncultured Pseudomonadota bacterium. Its description in RNAcentral is "uncultured proteobacterium partial 16S ribosomal RNA". It matches the Rfam family "Bacterial small subunit ribosomal RNA", at positions 524 to 768 of the family's 1533-position model. The record is from RNAcentral. Lineage: Bacteria; Pseudomonadati; Pseudomonadota.